Molecule: ribosomal RNA, 342 nt
Filed under: uncultured bacterium
Lineage: Bacteria
Description: bacterial SSU rRNA
Rfam family: Bacterial small subunit ribosomal RNA
Source: RNAcentral
GAGGCAGCAGUGGGGAAUAUUGCACAAUGGGGGAAACCCUGAUGCAGCGACGCCGCGUGAGCGAAGAAGUAUUUCGGUAUGUAAAGCUCUAUCAGCAGGGAAGAAAUGACGGUACCUGACUAAGAAGCACCGGCAAAUACGUGCCAGCAGCCGCGGUAAUACGUAUGGUGCAAGCGUUAUCCGGAUUUACUGGGUGUAAAGGGAGCGCAGGCGGUGCGGCAAGUCUGAUGUGAAAGCCCGGGGCUCAACCCCGGUACUGCAUUGGAAACUGUCGUACUAGAGUGUCGGAGGGGUAAGUGGAAUUCCUAGUGUAGCGGUGAAAUGCGUAGAUAUUAGGAGGAA